CGUUACCACAGGGGGGGCUUUAAGCUGAGAUUGAGUGUUUCACUCUGACCCUUUGAACCUGUUCGUUAAUACGAGCGUAGGGAUUGUGGCGAUUGCAUUUU
Molecule: non-coding RNA, 101 nt
Filed under: Listeria fleischmannii
Lineage: Bacteria; Bacillati; Bacillota; Bacilli; Caryophanales; Listeriaceae
Also listed under: 1 other name
Description: TPP sequence
Rfam family: TPP riboswitch aptamer (THI element)
About the family: Vitamin B(1) in its active form thiamin pyrophosphate (TPP) is an essential coenzyme that is synthesised by coupling of pyrimidine and thiazole moieties in bacteria. The previously detected thiamin-regulatory element, thi box was extended, resulting in a new, highly conserved RNA secondary structure, the THI element, which is widely distributed in eubacteria and also occurs in some archaea.
Source: RNAcentral